UGGGGAAUAUUGCACAAUGGGCGCAAGCCUGAUGCAGCCAUGCCGCGUGUAUGAAGAAGGCCUUCGGGUUGUAAAGUACUUUCAGCGGGGAGGAAGGCGAUAAGGUUAAUAACCUUGUCGAUUGACGUUACCCGCAGAAGAAGCACCGGCUAACUCCGUGCCAGCAGCCGCGGUAAUACGGAGGGUGCAAGCGUUAAUCGGAAUUACUGGGCGUAAAGCGCACGCAGGCGGUCUGUCAAGUCGGAUGUGAAAUCCCCGGGCUCAACCUGGGAACUGCAUUCGAAACUGGCAGGCUAGAGUCUUGUAGAGGGGGGUAGAAUUCCAGGUGUAGCGGUGAAAUGCGUAGAGAUCUGGAGGAAUACCGGUGGCGAAGGCGGCCCCCUGGACAAAGA
This 392-nucleotide ribosomal RNA is filed under the name uncultured bacterium. Its description in RNAcentral is "partial 16S ribosomal RNA". It matches the Rfam family "Bacterial small subunit ribosomal RNA", at positions 355 to 739 of the family's 1533-position model. The record is from RNAcentral.